CUUCUUGAUUGAAAUAGGAAGUCGUGCCUGCCCACUGAUAAUGAUUGAAUGGCCGCGGUAUCUUGACCGUGCAAAGGUAGCAUAAUCAUUAGUCUUUUAAUUGGGGACUGGAAUGAAUGGUUUGACGAAGCACUAACUGUCUCUGCUGUAAAAAUUGAAUUUUACCUUUAAGUUAAAAGGCUUAAAUAUGAUAAGGGGACGAGAAGACCCUAUAGAUCUUUAUUUUUUUAUAAGUGGAAAUGAUAAUAGUUGUUUUUUCUUUUUUUUUGUGAAAAAAUUUAGUUGGGGUGACGUGAGAAUAAAAGUAACUUCUUUUGGUUAUGACUUGAAUAAUUGGAUUAGUUGAUCCUGUAAUAUGGAUUUAAGAUUAAGAUACCUUAGGGAUAACAGCGUUAUUUUAUUUGAGAGUUCUUAUCGACAAUAAAGAUUGCGACCUCGAUGUUGGAUUAAGAUUACAUUUUGGUGUAGUGGCUAAAAUUAUGUUGGUCUGUUC
Molecule: ribosomal RNA, 493 nt
Filed under: Phaeogryllus fuscus
Lineage: Eukaryota; Metazoa; Arthropoda; Insecta; Orthoptera; Phalangopsidae
Description: partial 16S ribosomal RNA
Rfam family: Bacterial large subunit ribosomal RNA
Source: RNAcentral